RNAcentral lists this ribosomal RNA (222 nucleotides) under uncultured bacterium. RNAcentral's name for it is "partial 16S ribosomal RNA". It matches the Rfam family "Bacterial small subunit ribosomal RNA", at positions 116 to 334 of the family's 1533-position model. The record is from RNAcentral.
CGUGAGUAACCUGCCUUGGAGUGGGGAAGUAAACACAGUGAAAACUAGUGCUAAUACCGCAUAAUGCAUUUGGGUCGCAUGAUUCUGAAUGCCAAAGAUUUAUCGCUCUGAGAUGGACUCGCGUCUGAUUAGCUGGUUGGCGGGGUAACGGCCCACCAAGGCGACGAUCAGUAGCCGGACUGAGAGGUUGACCGGCCACAUUGGGACUGAGACACGGCCCAG